AACCUCUUCACAAAACACACAUAACCCUAACCCCUCCUCCACAACCCUUCUUCUUCCCUGCCACCGCCACCACCUCUCCUCCCACAUCACCACCGCCACCACCUCUCCUCCCACAUCACCACCGCCACCACCUCUCCUCCCACAGACCCGUCGUGUUGACGCCACCACCACUCCUCCCCCAAACCGCCGCCGUCUUGCACCUGUAUCACCAUCUUCAACCUCCCCUGUCCACCUUCCACAACUUGCAAGCCCUUUUAAUAAAUUUCUUAUUGCUGGAAAAGUGAAUGUGUGGUGUGGCUGGAGUUGGGAUUGGAGAAUUAACUCAAAAAUGGAAGGUUCAAGACCACAGUUGUCGGCAACUACAACAGUUGCAAAUUAAUUCAAAAAAGGUAGGUUCACACCAUCCUUCAUUGAUUUGUCUAAAAAUGAUAAAAGGGCUGAUUGCUGGUGGAGCUUUAAUUUAAUGGCAAAGCUUUGUUGGAUAGAGGGGUUGUCUGUAUUCGGAUCUAGUUCAGAUGUUUGACGACUGAAGUCCGUAUUCGUUUUUGCUCAGUGGUGUUGCUAUUGGUGAUACAGGUCUCUAGGAAAGUCAUAAACAUGGCAGAACUGCGACGACUUGCUUCCCUCGGAAUUUCUGAUUCUGCUGCCAUUCGUUCAACUGUAUGGAAGCUCACAAACACUUGAUACUUUUUUUCCUGCGUUAAGGGUAUAAGGAGUGGUUAAACACUUUAAAGUGGCAAACCAAAAAACUGACCAAUGAGAGCGCGCCAUGUCAAUUAGGCAAAAGUGUUUAAACUUUGGUGAAAAAUGUUGGCAAUGGUUUAAACACUUGGUGAAGUGGUAAACUAUUUUUUUAAAAAAAAAGGAAAAAGGUAUGAUUGGUUGAGAUAGGAAUGGACCUCACCCACAAUACCCUCCCUCUCUCUCCUUCUCCCUCUUGCCGAAUCGGUGUUCCAUCACCGAUUUACCCAACCAUUUCGGCAAACUAUAUAUUGGUGGUGGUGUUACCGAGUGGCAAAGUGGUUUGCCACCGUAUGCCCUAACCAACCCUAGGAAGGAAGGAAUUUGCAUCAUUUGGUUGUCAGUCACAGAAUGAAAGCUCUUCUUCGUGUGCUCUUCUCAAAACCCUCUCCCGCCAAAAAGCCUUCUUCAUUCAUCGAUGAACCCCAGUUCAUCUCUCUCAUCCACUCCUCCAAAUCCAUCCAGCAAAUCCAUGCCCAAAUCAUCCUCCACCACCAGUUUUCUAACUCCUGAAUCGUCACCCAGCUCAUUUCCUCUUUUUCUUUCAAAAACAACUUCACCAAUCACGCUCUCUCCAUCUUCCGCCACUUCAAAAACCCUAAUUUAUACAUUUUCAACUCACUAAUUCGUGCACUUGCUGAUCAUUCCUACUAUAUGACCUCAAUUUCUUACUUUGUUCUCAUGUUGAGCUCGAAUAUCAGGCCCGCCAAUUUAACUUUCCCGUUUGUUUUGAAAUCCACAGCCGCAUUACAAGAGGGAUGGCUUGGUAUGGAGAUUCAAACUCAGAUUUUGAAGCUGGGUUUACUAUGCGAUCGGCUUGUUUUACUUCAUUUGGUGGAUAUGUAUGCUAAAGUUGGUUUACUGGAGUGUGCAUGCCAACUGUUUGAUGAAAGUUCUCAAUGGGGGGGAUGACGCAAGAAGUACAUUAUUAUGGAAUGUUUUAAUUAAUGGGUAUUGUAAGGUUGGGAAAUGGGGUAAGGCUGUGGAAUUGUUUGAGGUAAUGCCGGAGAAAUAUGGUUCUACCUGGAGCACUUUGAUUAAUGGAUUAAUGAAAGCCGGUGAGAUUGACCGGGCUAUGGAGCUUUGGCGUUCCGUAGAGGAAAGGGAUGUGGUUUGUUGGACUACAAUGAUAAAUGGGUUUUCACAAAAUGGGCAGCAUGAACAGGCGCUAUCAAUGUUCUUUGAAAUGUUGGAAGAGGGUGUCAAUAGAUCCCGAUUUUGUCAUCUGGGGGGCACUAUUCAGUGCUUGCCGCACACACAAGAACAUUCAAAUGGCAGAAUAUGCAUCAGAGAAGCUUCUUUCAAAUGUUUAUGCAGGGGCAGGCAAGUGGGAAGAUGUAGAAAGGGUGAGGACCAAAAUGAAAAAUAAAGGUGUAGCAAAAGAUCCCGGUUGGAGUUACAUGGUCAAGUCACUAGUUUCGUAGCUAGCUGGUGAUCAUUUUCAGAUGAAAUUCAUUUAAAAUUAGAUGAAAAAUGCAAGAGAAUUUGGCUGAAACUGAGUGGGUGCUUCAUAAUAUAAUAUUGAAGAAGAAGAAGAAAAAGAAGAAUCUUUGGGAAGUCAACUGGCACUCGCUUUUGCCCUAAUAAUCUCUGGUGAUGAUUUAAAGGAUUGUGAAAAAUUUAAAAAUUUGUGGGGAUUGUCGUCACUCUUUAAUGAAGCAUGCUAGCUAGCAAAAUGACCAAGAGUACGGGAUAUAAACCGUUUUCAUCAUUUUAAAAAAUGGAAGUUGCUCGUGUCAAGAUUAUUGGUAACAGACAAUGUUUAUGUAUUAACACUAGGUGAUGAAAACAAAAGCUGAAUGCAUCCAGGAAAGACUGCAAUCAUGUUCUAAUCAAAGACUGUUCCAGAAAUAUCUCAUGAGUAGAUUCUUUUUCUUGCAGACAGCAAGUAAUUUAAAAAAAUGGUAUUAACAUUAUAUUAAGACAGGAUGAUGUUACACAAUGGAUUAGUCAAUGGAGGAUUAAUGCUACCCAAAUGAAUUUCAGAAGGGCAAUGCUCAAGUGGAUAUCAAAUUAUCAAUUAUAUCAUAAGGUCAGGAAUUCAUUUUCAUGGCUAGCUUAUAGAAAGUUUGUAGCAUUCCUCUUUUGUAUUAAAAAAAAAGGAAAGGAAGAUUGGUGUUUUGUUUUAACUUGAGAUCAUUGGUUCAUAAUCCUUACUAAUCUAUAGCUUCUAUUGCAUGAGGUAUUGAUGGUUCCUUGAGAUUUGGCAAAUCAUUGGCCAUAGUGGGAUUUAGUGAUAUUUAAUUGUUAGUGCGAUCACUCUAUGUCAAGUUCGGACAUAUUCAACAAAAGACUAAUGGUCAAUGCAUGGUCCAUGUGGAAAAGUCUUAAGCCAUGUGGAAAAGCCAUAUGAAGCCGUGUGGAAACAUCUCAAGCCAUGUUAAGACGUCUCAACUAAGACUUCUGAGACGUUUCAGCGUUGUCGGACACGUGGCAGCCAGUGAUUGGUCCAUUGUCAAGACGUUUCAGCAACGUGGUAGCGUCUCUACAAGACGUUUCCUUUGGCUAGUUUCGAAAUGUUGACCAAUUCUUGGCUAGUUUCAAGAUUUCCCCUAUUUAAAUUCUCAAUAACCAUAGGAAAUAAUUUCUUUUUGGAUUCAGUUAUGGAUGUCCAAAGGUUAACAUUUACAAGCAACCACCUUUCAAUCUUUAGACUUGCGUUAUGUCAUCAGCGUGGCCCUUAUUAAUCCAUUUACUUACGAAUGAGUUGAUUUGGGUUUUGUUUGAUCUUUAAUUGGUCCAACAAUAAAAGAAAAUGUCAGCUGAAAAGCCAUAUGGGUCAAACAGGUCCUAAAGUGUAUACCUAUUACAUAAAACCUCAAUUUGGUGAUCUA
Helianthus annuus (common sunflower) is the source of this 3575-nucleotide long non-coding RNA. RefSeq lists it as uncharacterized. The transcript is spliced from 3 exons. The record is from RefSeq and is a predicted model, not a curated record. Lineage: Eukaryota; Viridiplantae; Streptophyta; Magnoliopsida; Asterales; Asteraceae.